GAUGAACGCUGGCGGCGUGCCUAAUACAUGCAAGUCGAGCGAACAGACGAGGAGCUUGCUCCUCUGACGUUAGCGGCGGACGGGUGAGUAACACGUGUAUAACCUACCUAUAAGACUGGGAUAACUUCGGGAAACCGGAGCUAAUACCGGAUAAUAUAUUGAACCGCAUGGUUCAAUAGUGAAAGACGGUUUUGCUGUCACUUAUAGAUGGAUCCGCGCCGCAUUAGCUAGUUGGUAAGGUAACGGCUUACCAAGGCAACGAUGCGUAGCCGACCUGAGAGGGUGAUCGGCCACACUGGAACUGAGACACGGUCCAGACUCCUACGGGAGGCAGCAGUAGGGAAUCUUCUGCAAUGGGCGAAAGCCUGACGGAGCAACGCCGCGUGAGUGAUGAAGGUCUUCGGAUCGUAAAACUCUGUUAUUAGGGAAGAACAAAUGUGUAAGUAACUAUGCACGUCUUGACGGUACCUAAUCAGAAAGCCACGGCUAACUACGUG
This 497-nucleotide ribosomal RNA is filed under the name uncultured bacterium. Its description in RNAcentral is "partial 16S ribosomal RNA". It matches the Rfam family "Bacterial small subunit ribosomal RNA", at positions 28 to 507 of the family's 1533-position model. The record is from RNAcentral.